Molecule: ribosomal RNA, 445 nt
Filed under: uncultured Methanobacteriales archaeon
Lineage: Archaea; Methanobacteriati; Methanobacteriota; Methanobacteria; Methanobacteriales
Description: bacterial SSU rRNA
Rfam family: Archaeal small subunit ribosomal RNA
Source: RNAcentral
GCAGCUCAAGUGGUAGCCGCUUUUAUUGGGCCUAAAGCGUCCGUAGCCGGUNNGAUAAGUCUCUGGNGAAAUNNCGCAGCUUAACNGUGGGAAUUGCUGGAGAUACUAUCAUGACUCGAGNUNGGGAGAGGCUGGAGGUACUCCCAGGGUAGGGGUGAAAUCCUGUAAUCCUGGGAGGACCACCUGUGGCGAAGGCGUCCAGCUGGAACGAACCUGACGGUGAGGGACGAAAGCCAGGGGCGCGAACCGGAUUAGAUACCCGGGUAGUCCUGGCCGUAAACGAUGUGGACUUGGUGUUGGGAUGGCUUCGAGCUGCCCCAGUGCCGAAGGGAAGCUGUUAAGUCCACCGCCUGGGAAGUACGGCCGCAAGGCUGAAACUUAAAGGAAUUGGCGGGGGAGCACCACAACGCGUGGAGCCUGCGGUUUAAUUGGAUUCAACGCCGGG